ACUAUAUAUUGGAUAAGUUGCAGGAAAGUGUAUGGGUAAUAUCUUCAUUCUUUGCAGUUUGUCAUGGAUUAAAUGAUAAAGGUCUGCAUGAUUUUGAAAAAAAAUGAUUAUUAGCAAAUUGCUACGGCCCUGUAUAUAUGAUGCUUGAUUAACUGAGGGGGGAGUUGAAUAUUUCGAAUCUCUAGAUCGUCGGAAAUGGCACUUUCAGAGUCUUCAUUAAUUUAUUGAUUGUGAUUCUAGAGAUGCUAUGAAAUUUUAUACAAGGAAAAUGUACUUCUUUUCUUCCUGAGAUCUUAUCAUGUGAGACACAAAUAGCGAAUAAAAAUUACGAGUCCUAUAGAUCUAAUUACGAGAGCUAUAACAUACUGAUUCCCCAAGCUGUCUUAAAAAAGUAGGAUUUUAUAAGAAAAAGUAGGAAAAUCAAGCAAUUUUUAAUAAAAAAUAGGAAAAGUAGGAAAGUUGAAGAAAAGUAGGAAAAAGUAGGAAAAGUAGGACGGCAAGAAAGCCUGAUUAGUUGUCAUAUCAAUGGAUUUGGCCUGUCCAAUUGUCUGUCGAGACUUGAGAGAGUUAAAGUUAAAUGAACCUGUAAAAGUGUAAACCCAAUAGGCCAAUACACUUUUACUUUUAUAAAAUCAUUGACAUUGUGUCGUUUGAAUCCGAGUACAAUUUAUGAUGCAACUCCGAUGUAAAUAAUAU
Paramuricea clavata is the source of this 696-nucleotide non-coding RNA. NCBI's taxonomy places the organism in Eukaryota, Metazoa, Cnidaria, Anthozoa, Malacalcyonacea, Plexauridae. The record is from the annotation of a GenBank genome assembly.